Molecule: transfer RNA, 80 nt
Filed under: Thermoprotei archaeon
Lineage: Archaea; Thermoproteati; Thermoproteota; Thermoprotei
Description: tRNA-Lys
Rfam family: tRNA
About the family: Transfer RNA (tRNA) molecules are approximately 80 nucleotides in length.
Source: RNAcentral
GGGCCCGUAGCUCAGCCAGGUAGAGCGGCGGGCUUUUAACCUGGCGGAGGUCCCGGGUUCAAAUCCCGGCGGGCCCGCCA